AGAGGUUGAUCCUGGCUCAGAGCGAACGUUAGCGGCGGGCUUAACACAUGCAAGUCGAACGAGAUGGGGCAACUCCUUAGUAAAGUGGCGAACGGGUGCGUAACACGUGGGUAAUCUACCUUUCGGCGUGGGACAACAGACCUAACGGACUGCUAAUACCACAUACGUCGGCGGGAACUCCGGUUCCUGUCGGGAAAGAUCCUGGCCACCGGAAGAUGAACCCGCGGCCCAUCAGCUAGUUGGCGAGGUAACGGCUCACCAAGGCUAAGACGGGUAGCUGGUCUGAGAGGAUGAUCAGCCACACUGGGACUGCGACACGGCCCAGACUCCUACGGGACGCAGCAGUGGGGAAUAUUGGGCAAUGGGCGAAAGCCUGACCCAGCCACGCCGCGUGAGUGAUGAAGGCCUUCGGGUCGUAAAGCUCUGUGGGGAGGGACGAUAAUGACGGUACCUCCUUAGCAAGCACCGGCUAACCAUGUGCCAGCAGCCGCGGUAAUACAUGGGGUGCAAACGUUGCUCGGAAUCAUUGGGCGUAAAGCGCACGUAGGCGGCCACUUAAGUCGGAUGUGAGAGCCCUUGGCUUAACCGAGGAAGUGCAUCCGAAACUGAGCGGCUUGAGUACGAAAGAGGGUCGCGGAAUUCCCGGUGUAGAGGUGAAAUUCGUAGAUAUCGGGAGGAACACCGGCGGCGAAGGCGGCGACCUGGUUCGAGACUGACGCUGAGGUGCGAAAGCGUGGGGAGCAAACAGGAUUAGAUACCCUGNNAGUCCACGCCGUAAACGAUGGAUGCUAGAUGUUUCUGGAUUGACCGGAGGCGUCGUAGCUAACGCGUUAAGCAUCCCGCCUGGGGAGUACGGCCGCAAGGCUAAA
Molecule: ribosomal RNA, 869 nt
Filed under: uncultured bacterium
Lineage: Bacteria
Description: bacterial SSU rRNA
Rfam family: Bacterial small subunit ribosomal RNA
Source: RNAcentral